RNA transcript from Aedes albopictus (Asian tiger mosquito), 2273 nucleotides. It is a transcript of the gene named pleckstrin homology domain-containing family F member 1 homolog, with no coding region annotated. The record is from RefSeq and is a predicted model, not a curated record. The transcript is spliced from 8 exons. NCBI's taxonomy places the organism in Eukaryota, Metazoa, Arthropoda, Insecta, Diptera, Culicidae.
CGACGUCACGAUGUCCCUAAUGUCAAAAUCAGUUCGUCGCUUUUGUUCAGUGUGUUGAUGGGAUGCGAACGCGAAAGAGAAAGUCAAAAUUGUAAAAUACUGUGAAAAUGGUGGACAAACUAGUUAACAGCGAAGCCAACGCGCGUCGAAUACAGAUGGUGGAAAGCUGUUUCGGCAGCUCCGGGCAGCCACUGUAUGUACCGGGCCGGGUACUGGUCGGCGAAGGCGUACUAACAAAGAUGUGCCGCAAGCGUCCGAAGGCGCGUCAAUUUUUUCUGUUCAACGACAUUCUCGUCUAUGGAAAUAUAGUUAUCGGCAAAAAGAAGUACAACAAACAACACCUAAUACCUUUGGAGGAAGUGCAACUACAAGCCCUGGACGAUAAUGGACAAUACAGAAACGGCUGGCUGAUACGGACUGCCACGAAAUCAUUUGCCGUCUAUGCUGCUACGCAAACGGAGAAACAAGAAUGGAUGGCACACAUUAACAAAUGCAUUGAGGACUUGUUACGAAAAAGUGGUAAAAAACCUGUGGAGAAUCACGCAGCUGUUUGGGUGCCUGAUAGCGAGGCUAACAUAUGCAUGCAUUGCAAGAAAACCCAAUUCACUAUGUUGAUACGUAGGCAUCAUUGUCGAAAUUGCGGUGCUGUGGUUUGUGGGCCAUGUUCGUCGAAAAAAUUCCUUCUGCCAGGACAAAGCACCAAACCGCUGCGCGUCUGUUUGGACUGUUAUGACAACCUGAGCUCUAUGAAGCGGGAAGAGAACAAGGGAUUAAAUGCCAAUAAUAACAAGCCAGUUACAUCACCAGAAAGCUCCGGCGAUGACGACUCAGACGAUGAAGAGGAACCGAAAGAUACGCAUGAUGAGGGCUUUAGAAGUCACUGUACACCAACAGUCGUCUGUGUAUGAUAGGAGCAGGCAUCGGGAAGACCCGAUAGCAGAAUUAAAAAACCACUUCGCUUCAUUCGCCACGUCUUCACUAAAUCAUAAUGAAGAAUCAGAGUAACGAAAGCCAGAAAGCCUAGUGAUAUCAGUUAAGAUUUUGUACAGUGUUUCGUUAAAAGAAAGAACCUGCCAGAGGCAACCACUCUUUUUACGACACCAAAAUUCUACGGUGAUGAAAAACCAGAGAAAUAACCGUAACGACGCGGAAAAGCAAUCCACCCACAAAAUUACUGAUUCGUAUAGAAGUCUCACCAAUUUGAUAGGAACUAGUGAAUAAUGUCUAAUUUAUUCACUAGAAAACUCCGGAAAUACAACCUAGGUCAAUGUGAAUUGAAUUUUAGAUACAAGAAAAAGUACUCUCAUUCUAUUUUCCUUUAUUGCAUUACCCAGCAAACAUGUAUCGAAGCUAUCAAUAGUUGUUUAAUACUUACGGAGAAAACCAUUUAUUAGUUAAGAAAACUUCUUCAACCCGUGAAACAAGUUCGACAUAUUCAAUCUUUCGAUAUUUUACCACCAACCUCCUUUAUAACAUAGAACCGAAGCAAUGCUGUAGAACAAGAAUCAACUAUUUGGGGUACAAAAUAUGUCCUGUGAUCUGCUUCUCCAAGAAAAUGUAAAUGUAAACCGUUUUGCCCAAUAGAUACUACCAGUUAUCGGGAAUUUAUUAUAAACUGUUAUAUAAUAUUGAUCACAUUCUGGACUGUGAACAAUUCAGGCGAUCAUCUGAUAGAUACGUAGCAUUUUUUGGCCAGUCGGGUUAAAUUGUUCAAAAAAUGCUGUGUCAUUUACGGGUGUUCCGUAGAAGUUUUAAUUCCUAUCCGUUUUCUCGGUCAUAGCAGAGUUGAAAUCAUUAGGGGUACUCACUAAACAGAUUAAACUGCUGCGUAAGCCAUGAUUUUCUGCUUAUAUGAAAUGUUUCAUGAUUUUGCGAAUGAAAUAAUCAAAGAUUGCCUUGGUGAUCGCGACGUUCAACCCUUUCAGGACGGUUGGGUCAUUUGCACCUCGCUGACGUGUUCUACAGCGGCGAGGUUGGUCAAAAAAGUCGUCCCAAAGGGAUUAAUCAGUUUAAUCAGUUUACGCUGUUAAGUGGAUCCCCCUAUUAUUUGUAUUUGGUGAUGAAUAAAAACCAGGUCCACACAGAAUAGUCUUGUAAAAUCGGAAUUUAGUAGACAUAAUGUCUUGUCUCGACGCGCGAUGAGCCUAGAUCUUCAACCAGACUAUUAUUAUUAUUUUUAUUCUUAUGAUAAGUAAAUCAGAUAAAAGAUGUAUAUGAAUAUAUUUAAGCUUAUCAAUAAAAUAUUAAAAUUGCUCACAUUUUCGAAAAAAAUA